GAUGAACGCUGGCGGCGUGCCUAAUACAUGCAAGUCGAGCGAACAGACGAUGAGCUUUCUCCUCUAACGUUAGCGGCUGACGGGUGAGUAACACGUAGAUAACCUACCUCUAAGACUGGGAUAACUUCGGGAAACCGCAUCUACUACCGCCUAAUAUAUUCAACCGCUCGGUUCAAUAGUUCAAGACGGUUUUGCUGUCACUUAUAGAUGGAUCCGCGCUGCAUUAGCUAGUUGGUAAGGUAACGGCUUACCAAGGCAACGAUGCGUAGCCGAUCUGAGAGGGUGAUCAGCCACACUGGAACUGAGACACGGUCCAGACUCCUACGGGAGGCAGCAGUAGGGAAUAUUCGGCAAUGGGCGAAAGCUUGACGGAGCAACGCCGCGUGAGUGAUGAAGGUCUUCGGAUUGUAAAACUCUGUUAUUAGGGAAGAACAAAUGUGUAAGUAAAUAUGCACGUCUUGACGGUACCUAAUCAAAAAGCAACGGCUAACUACGUG
Molecule: ribosomal RNA, 497 nt
Filed under: uncultured bacterium
Lineage: Bacteria
Description: partial 16S ribosomal RNA
Rfam family: Bacterial small subunit ribosomal RNA
Source: RNAcentral